This is a small nucleolar RNA of Grammomys surdaster, 132 nucleotides long. RefSeq annotates it as small nucleolar RNA SNORA17. The record is from RefSeq and is a predicted model, not a curated record. Lineage: Eukaryota; Metazoa; Chordata; Mammalia; Rodentia; Muridae. The transcript has a single exon.
CCUGCCCCUAGAGGCGUUGCAGGUGUGGCUGCUGUGUCACAUGGGAGUCAGUAGGUGGCAGAGAGGAGAGAGGCUUUGUCUGUGCUAAGUGUUUUGACAUCUGAACACCUGGAUCAUUAGUAGCCUAACACU